AUAAAAUAAAAAUUUCUCUCCCUCUCAUAUAUUGAUGAGAUUUCUGGGAUGUGAUUUGAUAGAAUAAACAAUGAAACCUUUCAAUUUCUGCUGCUGCUGCUGCUGUGGCUUUGAAGUACUGUUUGAGACAGCUGUCAAUAUCCUUUGUAAGGAUUUUCAAGUUGUCAUUAAGCUUUUCUUGAUGUUGUACUUGCCUUCCCCAUAUCUGAAUUUGUAUAGGUAGUUAAUUCUCAUGUUCACCACACUAAGAGUUAAGUUCUCUUUUGCAGAUUUAUGUUGCCAUGACAUGCUUCCAGAACUUCUGUACAGUAUUCUUUUGCUGGCUUGCUUGUUGUCUACAGAAGAUUAUUUUCUUGUUUGAUCAUUUUAAUCACAUAGCUGGUUAGGGUAUUUAGACAUUCAUUUGUUUCAAAUCCAAGGAUCAAUCCAGUUGUUUAAAAAAAAGAUAAAAUUAUUGAAACAAAAGGAGAGAAACUAUUGUAAUAGAUAGAAUCCUAAUAUUGACCUUGAAAACAAACUCAAAUCCUUUAACAUAUCUGUUUAGAGAAGUUUUUUCUUUAUCUGUAUGUCUUAGCCAUAACUUCCUGUACAGGAUGUUUUGUCUAAAAUAGAUGUUUCAUCAAUGCUUUAUCUCUUGAACAAUAAUCAUGGGCAUUUCCUCCAGUCAACUUUUGAUAUCUUUAAACUAGAGGAGCAGGUAUUGGGAGCAUUAACACUUGAUCCAAAUUAGAAUUAGAGGUUUUUUUCCCCCUUUUUAGCGCUUAGAUUUCUUUUCUUACUGAGGCUUAUGUUUGCCUUUGCUGGUUUUGCAGAAGAAGAAAGCAAGCACGGAGAACAUGUAUAAGAUAAACAACAAGAUGAUUCUGUUUCUUCAGAGAAAAGGUUUGUCGUUUGAUAACGUUGUCUUUUCUUCAGAGUUUGAGUUUUUGGAAUUUUUAUGGCAUUCACGUCAUCUUCAUCUACUUUUUUUUGAUGUUAUCAAAUGAAUUGCCAAGGGCUUUAUAACAGCCAGAGAGUUUCUGCUUUUAGGUACACAACUCGAGCCCGAAAAGCAUCAAGUCAGCAGAAAGGUCUGCUGUAGGUGAUCUGACAAAGGAUGAUAAGGAAACAAAGGAUGAGGACGAGAAUCUCAGAAGCAAAGCUCUCAAGGAUGCAAGUAAAUCUAGCAUGUAGCAGCUUAGCUACACAACCAAGAAGAUUAUUUCAGCAAGAACUCCAUGGAUAUGCAUGGAAAAUCGCGAUGCUGCAUCUUGAAAAUGGGCACAACUAAAUGGCCUGCAAACACAGACAAUGUCAUUAAGCUGAUAACAUGGUACUUAAAUUAAGAGUGGAUGUUUUGAAUUUUUGUAGAACUGGAUUUUGUUAUUAUUAUUACUGUCAAAACAUCCAACAUCCAAGUUUUGUGAGUAUUUAGCUGAAUUAAAGUUUCACGAAGUUUCACAAGUUCAUAGCUGAUUCCUGUACUUGUUAGGCUGGUCGACUGAGCUGUGUUGGUGCCUUCGCAGCUAUCGUGCUAUGUCUUGUGAAUUGUGGCUUGUACUCUCUGUUUACUUCGGGAUUCUAGAUAAGUCCUUAAGAUGGUUAGGCUAACAGGAAGUUGAGAUGAUUUUAGGGAGGAUUGGUCAAAGGUCGUUUUGCAUUUCUUUUGUUUAUUUGUUAAUUAGCAUUCUGACCGUAUUUACAUUUUGAAUCAUAACAAUAACAAAAUUAUUUGAGUUGCAAAUUAUAAAUUAGCAUUCU
Molecule: long non-coding RNA, 1740 nt
Filed under: Coffea arabica (coffee)
Lineage: Eukaryota; Viridiplantae; Streptophyta; Magnoliopsida; Gentianales; Rubiaceae
Description: long non-coding RNA (CARA_LNC006234)
Source: RNAcentral